UUCAGGUACUCUUGAAUAGGAACAAGAACUCAUUGCACUAGGACAGAUGGAUCCUCUAGGUCGCACAAUAGGAGAGUCUGACUCAUUGGAAGCUCUCCUUGAAGAUCGAAACCCCAUCCGUCCUCCACCACCUCUCGGAGAGUUCGAGAUCAGUCCGCAACUCAUCACUCUGGCCGAACAUCACCAGUUCCAUGGAUUGAAUCAAGAGGAUCCCC
Molecule: long non-coding RNA, 215 nt
Filed under: Arabidopsis lyrata
Lineage: Eukaryota; Viridiplantae; Streptophyta; Magnoliopsida; Brassicales; Brassicaceae
Description: long non-coding RNA (ALYR_LNC001339)
Source: RNAcentral